GACGAACGCUGGCGGCGGGCUUAACACAUGCAAGUCGAACGGAAAGGCCCGGCUUUUGGGGGGUGCUCGAGUGGCGAACGGGUGAGUAACACGUGAGUAACCUGCCCUUGACUUUGGGAUAACGUCAGGAAACUGGGGCUAAUACCGGAUAGGAGCUCCUGCUGCAUGGUGGGGGUGGGAAAGUUUCGGCGGUUGGGGAUGGACUCGCGGCUUAUCAGCUUGUUGGUGGGGUAGUGGCUUACCAAGGCUUUGACGGGUAGCCGGCCUGAGAGGGUGACCGGCCACAUUGGGACUGAGAUACGGCCCAGACUACUCCGGGAGGCAGCAGUGGGGAAUAUUGCACAAUGGGCGGAAGCCUGAUGCAGCCACGCCGCGUGCGGGAUGACGGCAUUCGGGUUGUAAACCGAUUUCGCCUGUGACGAAGCGUGAGUGACGGUACUGGGUAAAGAAGCACCGGCUAACUACGUG
RNAcentral lists this ribosomal RNA (468 nucleotides) under uncultured bacterium. Its description in RNAcentral is "partial 16S ribosomal RNA". It matches the Rfam family "Bacterial small subunit ribosomal RNA", at positions 28 to 507 of the family's 1533-position model. The record is from RNAcentral.